This 1536-nucleotide long non-coding RNA is filed under the name Sus scrofa (pig). RNAcentral's name for it is "lncRNA (ENSSSCG00050069490.1)". The record is from RNAcentral. Lineage: Eukaryota; Metazoa; Chordata; Mammalia; Artiodactyla; Suidae.
AUGUUCCGGAUCCGGCCAUUGGUAAGAAUCAAAUGGGCCCAUGUCAGACAAGGCAUGGCUUUUAAUCUCCCUUUAUUUGCCAUGUCACCUGUCAGUGACCUUGCCUGUUGCCGGCUGCCUGGUGUUCUGCAGUUUACUGAUAAGUGUGUUUAUGCUUUUGAAGUCGUGUCUGCCGAAAAACCACAUCUGGUUCACCACCGCCUCAACAGAUACACAAUGAAAUACAAAGGCCAAUUCUGCGGUGUACACAAUCCGUGUCAGUUUACCCAGAGGAUUCCAGAUGGAAUGAACUCCGCAGACGGGGUUCACGGAGCGCAGGCGAUGCUGGGGGAGGAGCCCUCAUUGUCUCCCUUGGAAAUCGUAAGGCGAAUAUUGGUGCUGGGAGGACAUGUUGCGCUGCAGCGGUGGAGGCGGAGGCGUUUUACACGUUGUUAAGGUAGGAGUGACGGCAUCUGUAUUUAAACCUAAUAGAAAAUAUCAGCCACCGUUUCUUGAAUGUCUGCUCUAGGCCAGAGGCCGGGCUUAAGAAUUUUCUUUGCCUGGACACAGUUCUGUGAGGUCUCCGGAGGUGUGGCUCUUGAGCGUUUUAUAGAUGUGGUAAAGUGACCUUCCCCAAACUUGAGUGGCUUCGUGUUUUUGAUUGUUUACCUGUAUCUCAUUGAUGUUGAGUAUAUGCCCAGGAGUUUGUUUAUUUGUUUGUUUAUUUAUUUGCUUUUUAGGGCCACACCUUUGGAAGUUCCUGGGCUGGAGGCCGAAUGGGAGCUGCCGUGACCCGCCUGCACCAAGCCACAGCAACGCGGGACCUGAGCCGCGUCUGCAGCCUCACACCACAGCUCACAGCAACACUGGAUCCUUAACCCUCUGAGCAAGGCCAGGGAUUGAACCCGCAUCUCGAGGAUACUUGUUGGGUUCAUUACCAGUGAGCCACAACGGGAACUCCUGCCCAGUAGUUGAAUUGCCCUGUCAUACCUGGGUUUGCUGCCAGACCAUUUUCUAAAGUCCUGAUAUUAACCCAAGGAGCAGAGCCACAUUUGGGAGUACGUCUGGCUGGUGCCUGCUCUAAUAUUUUUAGACUCAGCAAUAUAUCCCAUCAAGAUGCCACGUGUAAAGAAUAGGGUCUUUCCAAGAAAACAUUGCUCCUGGCAAAUAGAGAUUUGUGGGGGGGGGGGGCGCGAUUGCUUUAUUUUGCAAACAUUUCUAUUAAUAUCUGACAACAACGUACCCACGACGUGGAUAAAUCUCAAGCAAACAGCUCAUUGAAUUUUUACAAAGUGAUUACUCCCUUGAGAGCUCCCCCCCAUCAAGGUACAGGGCAUGACUACAUUGAGAUCCUGCUGUAUAGCACAGGGAACUCUGUCUAGUCACUCAUGAUGGAAUACGAUGGAGGAUAAUGUGAGAAAAAGAAUAUGUGCGUGUGUGUGUGUGUGUGUGUGUGUGUGUGUGUGUGAGUGAUUGGGUCACUUGGCUAAACAGCAGAACUUGACAGAACAUUGCAACUAUAAUAAAAAAAAUGUAAAAAAAAAAUAAAUAAAAAUG